GUCUAUUUGAAGGUAUUAAUAGUCUGGCCUGCUCACUGACAUAAUAUAAUGUUAAAGAGCCGCGGUAUCCUGACCGUGCAAAGGUAGCAUAAUCAUUAGUUCUUUAAUUGAGAACUCGUAUGAACGGUCGGACAAGAGAAACCCUGUCUCUGCUAUUAUAUUAGAAUUUAACUUUUAAGUGAAAAGGCUUAAAUUUUUCAAGGGGACGAUAAGACCCUAUAAAGCUUUAUAUAUUAAUUAGAAUUUAUUAAAUUGAACAUAUAAAAAUUUAGUCUUAAAAAUAUAUUUAGUUGGGGCGACGAAAGUAUAAUUGAUAAUAACUGCUUAAACUUAAUACAAUAAUAAAUGAUUUUUUUUUAAUUGAUCCUUUUUAAAGAUUAAAGACCAAGUUACUUUAGGGAUAACAGCGUAAUUUCUUUUGAGAGUUCAUAUCGAAGAAGAAGUUUGCGACCUCGAUGUUGAAUUAAAAUAUCUUUAUAGUGCAGCAGCUAUAAAAAGAAGGUCUGUUCGACCUUUAAUUUUUUACAUGAUUUGAGUUCAGACCGGCGAGAG
RNAcentral lists this ribosomal RNA (552 nucleotides) under Chaceon bicolor. Its description in RNAcentral is "partial 16S ribosomal RNA". It matches the Rfam family "Bacterial large subunit ribosomal RNA", at positions 1831 to 2625 of the family's 2925-position model. The record is from RNAcentral. Lineage: Eukaryota; Metazoa; Arthropoda; Malacostraca; Decapoda; Geryonidae.